UGGAAUGGAGCUCAAUUGGUAGAGCACUUGCCUGGCAUGCAUGAAUCUCUGGGUUUCAACAAGGUGUGGUGGUGUAGGUCUGUCAUUCCAG
RNAcentral lists this transfer RNA (91 nucleotides) under Mesocricetus auratus (golden hamster). Lineage: Eukaryota; Metazoa; Chordata; Mammalia; Rodentia; Cricetidae. The record is from Rfam by way of RNAcentral.